Molecule: ribosomal RNA, 492 nt
Filed under: uncultured bacterium
Lineage: Bacteria
Description: partial 16S ribosomal RNA
Rfam family: Bacterial small subunit ribosomal RNA
Source: RNAcentral
GGUGAACGCUGGCGGUAGGCCUAACACAUGCAAGUCGAACGGCAGCACAGUAAGAGCUUGCUCUUACGGGUGGCGAGUGGCGGACGGGUGAGGAAUACAUCGGAAUCUACUUUUUCGUGGGUGAUAACGUAGGGAAACUUACGCUAAUACCGCAUACUACCUACGGGUGAAAGCAGGGGAUCUUCGGACCUUGCGCGAUUGAAUGAGCCGAUGUCGGAUUAGCUAGUUGGCGGGGUAAAGGCCCACCAAGGCGACGAUCCGUAGCUGGUCUGAGAGGAUGAUCAGCCACACUGGAACUGAGACACGGUCCAGACUCCUACGGGGGGCAGCAGUGGGGAAUAUUGGACAAUGGGCGCAAGCCUGAUCCAGCCAUACCGCGUGGGUGAAGAAGGCCUUCGGGUUGUAAAGCCCUUUUGUUGGGAAAGAAAAGCAGCAGGUUAAUACCCCGCUGUUCUGACGGUACCCAAAGAAUAAGCACCGGCUAACUUCGUG